Molecule: long non-coding RNA, 1046 nt
Organism: Planococcus citri (citrus mealybug)
Lineage: Eukaryota; Metazoa; Arthropoda; Insecta; Hemiptera; Pseudococcidae
Exons: 3
Source: RefSeq, a predicted model, not a curated record
AUUCAAUUUCAACCUUACUUACGUGGCACUGGCAGUAGUUAAGCGUACACUAUAACAUCUUUUUAAUUUUGAAAAAUAAUGUAGGUAACUACAAAAUGUUCCGUGUUUCUAAGAAUUUUGUUUUAUAUUUCUCUAUCCUAUCAUUGUGUGCUUAUGCAGGACCAGUACCACCGCCUAAUAUAAGUAUUGAAACACAAGUAAAUCAAGAAAUCACUUCCUUCGAAAUAUUGUUGAAAAAAAUGGAGAAUGCUACCACUGACAAACAAGCUGCAUUAGAUAAGUUGGAUGGCAAAUUAUUGGGUAACCUGACACAGGUGAUUCAACGCGCAAUCACUGCUGAAAAGAAAAUUGUAGUGUUGUUACAGAAAAACGUAUUGCUGGAAAUGAAAAAGAAUGAAUCUGAGCAUGAACUGAUCACAUUGAAAAUGCCACUAAUGUUUAGAAAUUAUGUUAUUGAAACCGAAAACAAUUUCCCUGGUAUUAAAGCUGUAAUACCACCAAACGUCUUGAAUCAUUCAAAAUUCCAUCUGGACGUCCUUCAAAGGAAGUAUAAUUGGAUAAAAAUCCUCACUGAAGAUGAGUAUUCUAAUAAUGUCCUUGUAAAAUUGCUGAAAUCCACCCUCAAAAAAAAUUUUUUUUUGAAUGAAAAUAUUCCUCAAGAUAAGGACAUUCAAGGCUUGAGCAAAGAUCAGCAAAAAAUGUAUAACGAAUUUAUUGAAAAAUUCUGUCACGGGAUUGCUGUGUCCAUUGAUAAUAUUAACAAGAUAAUGGAACAUGAUAAUUUUGGUAGGUAUCCAAGAGUGGACUUACUGAAAAUGUUUGAGACAGCAUGUAAUAAAUACGUGUCUUUGUUUUAUCAUGCUGUUAUCUGUCCUGCGAAUCCCGAUGAAGAAAAACCACUGUAAAUUAGUCAUACCAAAUUUAUUUUUAAAUCCCAUUUGUAAUUACCUACACCAAUGUUCUGUUUCAAUAUCUUAUUACUUACUUUAUUACUUACUUUAUUAUAAUUUUUUUAAAUUUCAAGUAUAAAAAUCACUUUAUUAUAA